RNAcentral lists this ribosomal RNA (219 nucleotides) under uncultured bacterium. RNAcentral describes it as "partial 16S ribosomal RNA". It matches the Rfam family "Bacterial small subunit ribosomal RNA", at positions 122 to 334 of the family's 1533-position model. The record is from RNAcentral.
UAACCUGCCCAUCAGAGGGGGAUAACAUUCGGAAACGGAUGCUAAAACCGCAUAGGUUCUACAGUCGCAUGACUGAAGAAGGAAAAGAGGCUUCGGCUUCUGCUGAUGGAUGGACCCGCGGUGCAUUAGCUAGUUGGUGAGGUAACGGCUCACCAAGGCCGUGAUGCAUAGCCGACCUGAGAGGGUGAUCGGCCACAUUGGGACUGAGACACGGCCCAA